RNAcentral lists this long non-coding RNA (873 nucleotides) under Helianthus annuus (common sunflower). RNAcentral's name for it is "hypothetical non coding rna". Lineage: Eukaryota; Viridiplantae; Streptophyta; Magnoliopsida; Asterales; Asteraceae. The record is from RNAcentral.
UAAUUAAAUAAUUCAAUUAUCUUUUUCUCUCUCUAUCUUCUUCUUCACCCUGUAAGUUACUGGUUUUUACCCUGUAAGUCACCGGCUGAAAAAGAGCAGGUUAAUUUUUUUUCCAAGUUAGGUUAUUUGAGUCCUAGCAUGUUGGAAAAUUAAGAUCUAUACUGUUGAGUUAUAGUACCUGAGAGAUACGUUUGGGCGAUGAAUCUGAAGCAUCAAGGGCCAGAUCUUGGCAAGUUGGAAUCGACGCCAUCGCUUCCUUUUCAACCAACAUAAGGAAGAUUUCGAAGACUGUUAAGUGGAGGUAUACGUCGUCGGCUCUGAUGUUGAUAAUAUUUAACCAAUAUAUAUCACCGGAUAUGUACUGCAGUGCCGCCUGAAUCCCUUUCAGCUGUGUAAUACUAAAGACUUUGAUCUGUCCGGUAAUCUCUUUCAUGAAGCGAAUGGUAGUAAUGGGUGUGUACUGGACUUGACAUGUGUUCUUAAGGUAGAUAGUGAAGUUGAAACCCUCUUCUAGAGGGCAUAGGAUGUAAGAUUCGACGGAGUCAGGUAGAAGGCCGGGUGGAAAUCCAAAUACUUUGAGGACGUCGUGUAUCGGCGGGCUUGCAGAGGUUGACGCCACGAGUGCGAGUAGCACAAGGAGGAAGAGAGGCAUUUGGGAAGUUGCCAUGGUUACUAAGUUACUAAGUUGUGAGGUGAGGACUUGAAUAGGAUCUGAGAUUGCAAUAUAUAGGCGAAAAAUCAAUAGCUAUCCCCGUAGGCCCGUAUUAACUAACUAGAUUAUUAGACCCGUGUACUACACGUGUUUAACGAUAUAAAAUUAUAAAUUAUUUAAUGUUAUACUGUCUUUGUAAAUUUAUGUAAGUGAAUUUUUUU